Dreissena polymorpha is the source of this 444-nucleotide long non-coding RNA. RefSeq lists it as uncharacterized. The record is from RefSeq and is a predicted model, not a curated record. Lineage: Eukaryota; Metazoa; Mollusca; Bivalvia; Myida; Dreissenidae. The transcript is spliced from 3 exons.
ACAAUUUCUGACUAAAGUAUAAGCGACAGCGUUUAUUUCUCUGCCCGAAGUUCGGUGAUGCACAGCAUUUGAAGUCAUAGGAUAGAUUUACAACUUUGAGAAUGGAUUCCCAAAUGAGUAUGACGUCACUGGUGUUGAUGAUGGCACUGUUGGCCUAUCUGCUGGUCGCUAUGGUGGCGGGGUUCAGCGUGAAGAAGACAGGGGACUGCUACUGGGUGUGCGUGGACAAGUGUGACCCCUAUGGCAUGUGCUCGCCUAGCUGUGAGACAUUAUGCUAACAGCCUACGAAGAUGACAGCGUUAAGUUCCAACACUGAAGACCACAAUUGUAGUUUAGGGUGCAUUUAUUUGUAUUUUUUAUAUUUGUCGUAUUAACAAAAGCAAUGAGUAAUCAUGAAAUCCUGUAGUUACCAUGCUAUAAUAAAACGAGUCAGUCUCCAAGAAA